Long non-coding RNA from Chelonia mydas (Green sea turtle), 2483 nucleotides. RefSeq lists it as uncharacterized. NCBI's taxonomy places the organism in Eukaryota, Metazoa, Chordata, Testudines, Cheloniidae. The transcript is spliced from 3 exons. The record is from RefSeq and is a predicted model, not a curated record.
CCUGACGCGGUUGUGCGCUGGGCCUGCCCGCACUCCGUUCCCUGGGGUCCUCCAGGGCGGAGAGGCAGAGUCUUCAGCCGGGAGUGCGACCGGUUCACUUUCUCUGGGGUGCAAGAAAACUGCCUAGGGAGUAGAAGUAGGGUCGAGCCUGCACCCGGCCCCCUUCUUCGCAGCUCAGGGGGACAGUAUGAGCCCGAGAAGCCACGCCCACCGCGUAAGGGGCUCCGCCCAGCACGGCUGCUUUGGGGGCGCGGUUCUCCUCUCUGUCUGCAAGGAACCACCUUACCUGCCCGGUGCAACUGCCUUUGCGGCGGGAUGUUCCUACGGGCUGAUCUCCUCCCAGCUCUUCCGCCUUUAUAUGUAAUCGGAGUAAACAACGUAUUAGGAAGGAGCAGAGAGAGUCUUGUACCUGAUUCGAACCCUAAAUGGUGGAGACAGAACAAAACUUGGCAGAAUUCUGACUCUUCACACAUCUGGUUUGUUUCUCUUAGUUCACUUGAGUUCUGCUGGCAGUGAAAGUCUGACUACUUGCUGGAAAUCCCUCCUUCCAACUGGAAACUGUUUUGGGAAGUGUUAGCUGCAGGAGUUGGGAGUCUGUAUGGAGGGAAUGGCCUUGGUAGGAUCAGGUAGACUGGGAAGCUCUUACAGUGUACGAUCAGUCUCUAAGAAAAUGGGGGUAGACUCAGUGGAAUGGGGAAAUCUCAGGGAGUCUUUUAGUAGUGAAUAGGGUGAACUCUGGGACCAGAGCCUACACAUCAGAAGUUUGAAGGUGACAUCCAUUUUAAGGAGGGAGGUGUGUCUGAGUCUAAUUUAUGCAUAUCUUUUUCUGACAUGUUGCAGUUUGUGAGCCCUGAGAGUAAUAGAGCCAGUUUAAUAAUUUAGGGCUGAGAUGCCUAGGAACAUCAGAAUUGGAAUAUGAGAUUAGACCUAUGGUCUGUCUAGUUCAGCAUCCUAUCUCUGACUGGCCAGCACCCACAUGCUUCAGAAGAAGAUGCAAGAAACUCCACAGUAGGCAGAUGUGGGAUAAUCUGUCCCUCUCCCAUGAAAAUCUCAUGCAAAUCCCUAAAACUGGUUUAAACCCAGAAGCAUGAGGUUUUAUAUUCUGUCCAAAAUUUUUGUUAGCAUUAACUAUUAACCAUAUAAAUGUCCAGUCCUUUUUGAAUCUUUCUAAAGUCUUAAUGACAGCCUGUGACAAUGAGUUCCACGGUCUAAUUUUGUUUUUUUUAAGUGUAAGAGGUUUUCCUGGGUUUCCCUAGCCACAUUUCCAUCUCUCUCAUUCUGCUUGUAGAGUGCCAUGUAAUUGGUUGGUUGCCACCUUCCCCAGAGGUGACAACAUUUGAGUGGGGUCAUGGAUAGAUCUAGGACUCAGUCCUGUGAGCUCAUGAGCUUCCUCAGUCAAAAGAAGUUGAUAGUGAAUGCUGGGUUUGGAUAUGUUUAGAUAUUUAUUUAAAAAUCUGGCGUGGUAAAUGUAACUUUUGUUUCAAAUCAACUUGGUUUUUGUCAAUAGGAAGAUGAGGUAUGGGAUCUGUGCAUAGAGAGAUAACUGCACUCCUCACAGGUCCUGAGGUUGCUACUCUGUUGUCUCCCUCAUUACCUGGAAAUGCUGAAUUUAACAGAAGAUGCUAUUGGCAUUUAAAAUGGAUGUGCCAAUCCAGCAAUGCAUGUAUCUCAUUAGCUUGUUUUUAUUACUCCUUCUUGCUCAAGAAAUAUCCAGUAGUAGCUUCUAUGUGAUUCUUCAGUCCAAAAAAAAAGGAAAAAAAAGAGGGAAACUCCCCUCCUCCCCAAAUUUACCUGCAGAGUGAUCUCCUUCCAGUGCUGGGGGAGAACAUGAGAGAAACACACUUACAGGGACUGUGGAAAGGAGGGGAUACGCAUGCAUGCACACAGCUUGUCUUUUUGUCUAUAAAGGCCAGACUUUAUCUGCCUUGGGGGAAGGGAAACAAGCUAGAGGCCCAAUCCUGCAGUCCUAACUUCAGUGGAACUACUGGGGUGAGGAGGAUCACACCCUAAUUUAACACAACUAUAUUUCUAUUCCCUCUUUUACACACCCAGAUAUACAUAUUGAAGCCUUGAAAACCAACUGCUUUUCCCAUUGCUGUUUCAGUUCCACAAAACUCGUGUCACUUCACAGGGAUGUGCUACUUCUGAGGAACAACAAAGGAGAUUAAAGAAACCAGAAGCUCAAGAUUCUUUUAGGAAAGCCUGCAGGGGGACAAAAGAACAUUCAAAACAUCCAAACAUGCUGAGACAAAAUGCUAAAUGGAUGUUUCACUGUAACACCAAACACAAUGUCAAAACCAUCUGUCAGGGAGAAAACUUGUCACCUGUUGAUAUGACUUGUCCCUUCCCUCUUCUCUGUCUGAGCCCUGGUCUACACUACGAGUUUAGGUCAAAUUUAGCAGUGUUAGAUCGAUUUAACCCUGCACCCGUCCACACAACAAAGCAAUUUUUGUCAACUUAAUGGGCUCAUAAAAUCGAUUUCU